This 417-nucleotide ribosomal RNA is filed under the name uncultured Candida. RNAcentral's name for it is "eukaryotic LSU rRNA". The stretch from base 62 to 214 matches the Rfam family "5.8S ribosomal RNA". The record is from RNAcentral. Lineage: Eukaryota; Fungi; Ascomycota; Saccharomycetes; Saccharomycetales.
AACACCUAAAAUGUGGAAUAUAGCAUAUAGUCGACAAGAGAAAUCUACGAAAAACAAACAAAACUUUCAACAACGGAUCUCUUGGUUCUCGCAUCGAUGAAGAGCGCAGCGAAAUGCGAUACCUAGUGUGAAUUGCAGCCAUCGUGAAUCAUCGAGUUCUUGAACGCACAUUGCGCCCCUCGGCAUUCCGGGGGGAAUGCCUGUUUGAGCGUCGUUUCCAUCUUGCGCGUGCGCAGAGUUGGGGGAGCGGAGCGGACGACGUGUAAAGAGCGUCGGAGCUGCGACUCGCCUGAAAGGGAGCGAAGCUGGCCGAGCGAACUAGACCUUUUUUCAGGGACGCUUGGCGGCCGAGAGCGAGUGUUGCGAGACAACUAAAAGCUCGACCUCAAAUCAGGUAGGAAUACCCGCUGAACUUAA